UACGUAGGGCGCAAGCGUUAUCCGGAAUUAUUGGGCGUAAAGAGCUCGUAGGCGGUUUGUCGCGUCUGCCGUGAAAGUCCGGGGCUCAACUCCGGAUCUGCGGUGGGUACGGGCAGACUAGAGUGAUGUAGGGGGGACUGGAAUUCCUGGUGUAGCGGUGAAAUGCGCAGAUAUCAGGAAGAACACCCGUGGCGAAGGCGGUUCUCUGGGACGGUACUGACGCUGAGACGCGAAAGCGUGGGGAGCGAACAGG
Molecule: ribosomal RNA, 253 nt
Filed under: uncultured bacterium
Lineage: Bacteria
Description: partial 16S ribosomal RNA
Rfam family: Bacterial small subunit ribosomal RNA
Source: RNAcentral